This 328-nucleotide ribosomal RNA is filed under the name uncultured eukaryote. RNAcentral describes it as "partial 18S ribosomal RNA". It matches the Rfam family "Eukaryotic small subunit ribosomal RNA", at positions 1470 to 1796 of the family's 1831-position model. The record is from RNAcentral.
CCCUUAGAUGUCCUGGGCCGCACGCGCGUUACACUGAUGCAUUCAACGAGCUUAUAACCUUGGCCGAGAGGCCUGGGCAAUCUUGUUAACGUGCAUCGUGAUAGGGAUAGAUUAUUGAAAUUAUUAAUCUUGAACGAGGAAUUCCUAGUAAACGCAGAUCAUCAAUCUGCAUUGAUUACGUCCCUGCCCUUUGUACACACCGCCCGUCGCACCUACCGAUUGGAUGGUCCGGUGAAGCCUCGGGAUUGUCGUUCUUGCCGCUUUAUUGUGGCGUGACCGCGAGAACUUGUCUAAACCUUAUCAUCUAGAGGAAGGUGAAGUCGUAACA